GACGGAGGGCGCAAGCGUUGUUCGGAAUUACUGGGCGUAAAGCGCGGGCAGGUGGUCUGUUAAGUCGUUUGUGAAAAUCCGGGGCUCAACCCCGUGAAAUGCGUACGAUACUGGCAGGCUGGAGAUCGGUAGAGGCUAGCGGAAUUCCUGGUGUAGCGGUGGAAUGCGUAGAGAUCAGGAAGAACACCCGUGGCGAAGGCGGCUAGCUGGGCCGAGUCUGACACUCAUCAGCGAAAGCGUGGGGAGCAAACAGG
This 254-nucleotide ribosomal RNA is filed under the name uncultured bacterium. RNAcentral's name for it is "partial 16S ribosomal RNA". It matches the Rfam family "Bacterial small subunit ribosomal RNA", at positions 524 to 776 of the family's 1533-position model. The record is from RNAcentral.